GUGUUUGCUUCAGCAGCCCAUAUAGUAAAAUUAUAAUGAUACAGAGAAGAUUAGCAUGGCCUCUGUGGAAGGAUCACACGUGAAUUCUUGAAGUGUUCUAUAUAUAU
This is a small nuclear RNA of Cercocebus atys (sooty mangabey), 107 nucleotides long. The record is from Ensembl. NCBI's taxonomy places the organism in Eukaryota, Metazoa, Chordata, Mammalia, Primates, Cercopithecidae.